RNAcentral lists this ribosomal RNA (864 nucleotides) under uncultured archaeon. RNAcentral's name for it is "bacterial SSU rRNA". It matches the Rfam family "Archaeal small subunit ribosomal RNA", at positions 39 to 909 of the family's 1478-position model. The record is from RNAcentral.
UGAUACUAAGCCAUGCGAGUCAUUGUAGCAAUACAAGGCAUACGGCUCAGUAACGCGUAGUCAACCUAACCUAUGGACGGGAAUAACCUCGGGAAACUGGGAAUAAUGCCCGAUAGAACAUUAUGCCUGGAAUGGUUUAUGUUCCAAAUGAUUUAUCGCCGUAGGAUGGGACUGCGGCCUAUCAGUUUGUUGGUGAGGUAAUGGCCCACCAAGACUAUUACAGGUACGGGCUCUGAGAGGAGUAGCCCGGAGAUGGGUACUGAGACACGGACCCAGGCCCUAUGGGGCGCAGCAGGCGAGAAAACUUUGCAAUGUGCGAAAGCACGACAAGGUUAAUCCGAGUGGUUUCUGCUAAAGGAACCUUUUGUCAGUCCUAGAAACACUGAUGAAUAAGGGGUGGGCAAGUUCUGGUGUCAGCCGCCGCGGUAAAACCAGCACCUCAAGUGGUCAGGAUGAUUAUUGGGCCUAAAGCAUCCGUAGCCGGCUCUGUAAGUUUUCGGUUAAAUCUGUACGCUCAACGUACAGGCUGCCGGGAAUACUGCAAAGCUAGGGAGUGGGAGAGGUAGACGGUACUCGGUAGGAAGGGGUAAAAUCCUUUGAUCUAUUGAUGACCACCUGUGGCGAAGGCGGUCUACCAGAACACGUCCGACGGUGAGGGAUGAAAGCUGGGGGAGCAAACCGGAUUAGAUACCCGGGUAGUCCCAGCUGUAAACCAUGCAAACUCAGUGAUGCAUUGGCCUGUGGCCAAUGCAGUGCUGCAGGGAAGCCGUUAAGUUUGCCGCCUGGGAAGUACGUACGCAAGUAUGAAACUUAAAGGAAUUGGCGGGGGAGCACCACAAGGGGUGAAGCCUGCGGUUCAAUUGG